UGAAAUUUUCAGAGAUGUAUGGCAGUUUAACAAACCGGAAAUCGAAGUUCAAUGGGCGAUAUGAUGGUUGGGAUUUAUAACUAGGAAUGUAUUUUAGCAGCACAGGUUAAAAUGAGUGUGUACUUUACUGUUGUAUGCUAUUUCUACCCAUACCCUUUUGGGUAGGUAUAAAUUUUUUUUUAGCUUUGAGAGUUCUUUUUCCUCUUCUGGUUUUUGGUUUACAGGUUUCAUGUUUCACAUAGUUUGGAUAGUAAUGUGUACAUUGUUACUGUGAAAAUUGUGUUCCUUUUAUCUAAUGGGAAGAUA
Molecule: long non-coding RNA, 306 nt
Filed under: Panax ginseng (ginseng)
Lineage: Eukaryota; Viridiplantae; Streptophyta; Magnoliopsida; Apiales; Araliaceae
Description: long non-coding RNA (PGIN_LNC003256)
Source: RNAcentral